CUGUUCGAGCGUCAUUAUAACCACUCAAGCCUGGCUUGGUAUUGGAGUCUGCGGUCUUGCAGCUCCCAAAAUCAGUGGCGGUGCCGGUGUGGCUCUACGCGUAGUAAUUAUUCUCGCGAUGGAGUUCCCCUGGUUGCUUGCCAGAACCCCCAAUUUUACAGGUUGACCUCGGAUCAGGUAGGGAUACCCGCUGAACUUAA
RNAcentral lists this unclassified non-coding RNA (200 nucleotides) under soil metagenome. RNAcentral's name for it is "partial contains internal transcribed spacer 2 and large subunit ribosomal RNA". The record is from RNAcentral.